RNAcentral lists this unclassified non-coding RNA (791 nucleotides) under Hevea brasiliensis (rubber tree). The record is from RNAcentral. Lineage: Eukaryota; Viridiplantae; Streptophyta; Magnoliopsida; Malpighiales; Euphorbiaceae.
AGUUCACAUUGUUAAGGCUUGCAAGGUUGAAGAGACAGCUGGAAAGAUGCUUGGCCAGAUACUUGUUACCAAGCAAACUGGUCCUCAAGGAAAAGUUGUCAGCAAGGUUUACCUGUGUGAAAAGUUAUCGCUUGUCAAUGAGAUGUACUUUGCUAUCAUGCUGGAUCGUCAAACUGCCGGCCCACUUAUUAUUGCCUGUAAAAAGGGGGGAACCAGCAUUGAAGACCUUGCAGAGAAAUUCCCUGACUUGAUUAUUAAGGUGCCCAUUGAUGUAUUUAGAGGAAUUACUGAUGAAGAUGCUGCAAAAGUUGUAGAUGGUUUAGCUCCAAAGGUGGCUGAUAGAAAAGAUUCAAUUGAGCAAGUGAAGAAAUUAUAUAAGCUUUUUUGUGAGUGUGAUUGCACAUUGUUGGAAAUCAAUCCCAUUGCAGAAACUUCAGAUAACCAGUUGGUAGCUGCUGAUGCUAAGCUGAACUUUGAUGAUAAUGCUGCAUUUCGUCGGAAAGAGAUAUUUAAUCUUCGUGAUCCAACGCAGGAGGAUCCUCGAGAGGUGGCUGCUGCCAAGGCAGACUUGAAUUAUAUUGGCUUAGAUGGAGAAAUUGGUUGCAUGGUGAAUGGUGCUGGAUUAGCAAUGGCUACGAUGGAUAUAAUUAAAUUGCAUGGCGGAACUCCUGCCAAUUUUCUUGAUGUUGGUGGGAAUGCAUCUGAGGGCCAGGUGGUUGAGGCAUUUAAAAUAUUGACUUCUGAUGAUAAGGUUAAAGCAAUUUUAGUGAACAUAUUUGGAGGAAUAAUGA